UGGGGAGACAGGAGCUAGGAGAACAUGAAGACCAAAAGGACUGUUGUGGGAUAUUUUCCUAUCCUUCUUACCCUUACCAUAAAACAAGAUCUGUUAACCAAGCUUGGAAGGAGCAUGCAGUUCAAAGGUCAAAUGUAUGAAAGCAAAGCCUGCUUGAUAUACCAAGAGCUCUUUGUAAAUUUGAUUCUAACUGAGAAGCUAUAGAGCUGUGAAGGGGUGAAGGGCAGAGGAGAUAGUGCAGCACCCGCUGAAACGCUUCCAUUUUGUUUUCUGAGCUACUGCCACAAGGAAAGACUGCCUUCUGUGCUGAUGACAGAUCUGCCCUUCUGUUAUCAGACACUGCUCUUUUGCUAUCUCAGUUUCAUAACAAUUACCUCUGCCUGAGAGCUAUGGAUCAGCCACAUUGGGCAAAGCAGUCCUCUGAGAAAGAGAAUGAUGGAUGACAGAGUGAUUCCCUUCAACAUGACUGGGGCACUGAGGCUCCUGCUCAGCUCUGGAUAUGCUAGAGAACCCCCAUUGCUCCUUUUCACUGUAACUCCAGCUGCUGCACUGGAGCUAACAAAACUAUUCAAAGAAAAGCAUUCCAAGGAACCAUCUGAGAAGGUUCUUCAGCAUUGCUGAUGGGCCCUUUAUCCAAGGUGAGAAUGACUUGAUUCAGCUCCACUGAAGCAUGCACAGUUGUAAAGAAAAACCUGUGGUUUGACAUCUUGUGUAUUCUGCCUGUAGUAAGGUGCUUAGGAUGGAACAUCUACCCCAGAUAUAACAAGUCUUUGAAAUGAGACUUCUUGUACCAAGGCUUUGUAUGCAUCUACGAUUGUAGUAUCUACCACUGACUGGCUGAGCCUAUGUAGCUUUCAGACUGUAUCAAGGGGAUGUAAUCGGAAUUAUGCUUUUGUCUCCCAGACCUCCUUAGCAGAUAUCUGAGGGAAAUAAGCACUUCCACAUGCUGUUUUGGAUCUCACAUAGGCUAUCAGGGGGGCAUGUAGUUCUUGCAUCCCAGCCCUGAGCCUUGUAUAAGUAUAUGCAGUGACUUUUUAAUGCUAGUAUGGCUUUAAGAUGAAUAAACAAAUUGUGCUCUCUUCCUAUCUUCGCACUGCAAAAAGUAAGGGGAAGAAUCUCUCACACCCUUUGGUAGGUUGUCAGUGCCAAAGAAAAGACACCAGUAGAUAUUCCAUUCAAAUGUCCAGUUUUUCUUUCCAAUUGUUGCUCUGGAUCCCUUUUUAUUUUUCCCCUCUUCUACUACUUGAACAAUGGCCUCUUCUUAGGAAACAAGUUUUCAGCUUUACAAUGGUCUUGACUUCUCAUUGUUUGAAAGUCAAGAGGGUCACUCAAAGUAAACUAUGUUGUGCUAGGUAAUGUUUUUCCACGUGGAAAUGUUGCAGGGCC
This 1386-nucleotide long non-coding RNA is filed under the name Gallus gallus (chicken). RNAcentral's name for it is "lncRNA (ENSGALG00010026832.1)". The record is from RNAcentral. Lineage: Eukaryota; Metazoa; Chordata; Aves; Galliformes; Phasianidae.